GCAGACUCACCAGACACGAGCCCAUCAGACUAGGGAGAAAAAUAGCAACUGUGACUUUGGUUUGUGCAUAGAUUCUAAUAACAUGCCUCUCUUUGAAUAAAGUCUGAGGGG
Callorhinus ursinus (northern fur seal) is the source of this 111-nucleotide non-coding RNA. The record is from RefSeq and is a predicted model, not a curated record. Lineage: Eukaryota; Metazoa; Chordata; Mammalia; Carnivora; Otariidae.